UCGUAACAAGGUUUCCGUAGGUGAACCUGCGGAAGGAUCAUUAGUGAAUAUAGGACGUCCAACUUAACUUGGAGUCCGAACUCUCACUUUCUAACCCUGUGCACUUGUUUGGGAUAGUAACUCUCGCAAGAGAGCGAACUCCUAUUCACUUAUAAACACAAAGUCUAUGAAUGUAUUAAAUUUUAUAACAAAAUAAAACUUUCAACAACGGAUCUCUUGGCUCUCGCAUCGAUGAAGAACGCAGCGAAAUGCGAUAAGUAAUGUGAAUUGCAGAAUUCAGUGAAUCAUCGAAUCUUUGAACGCACCUUGCGCUCCAUGGUAUUCCGUGGAGCAUGCCUGUUUGAGUGUCAUGAAUACUUCAACCCUCCUCUUUCUUAAUGAUUGAAGAGGUGUUUGGUUUCUGAGCGCUGCUGGCCUUUACGGUCUAGCUCGUUCGUAAUGCAUUAGCAUCCGCAAUCGAACUUCGGAUUGACUUGGCGUAAUAGACUAUUCGCUGAGGAAUUCUAGUCUUCGGACUAGAGCCGGGUUGGGUUAAAGGAAGCUUCUAAUCAGAAUGUCUACAUUUUAAGAUUAGAUCUCAAAUCAGGUAGGACUACCCGCUGAACUUAAGCAUAUCA
Molecule: unclassified non-coding RNA, 617 nt
Filed under: Rhodotorula mucilaginosa
Lineage: Eukaryota; Fungi; Basidiomycota; Microbotryomycetes; Sporidiobolales; Sporidiobolaceae
Description: sequence contains 18S rRNA gene, ITS1, 5.8S rRNA gene, ITS2, 28S rRNA gene
Rfam family: 5.8S ribosomal RNA (bases 197-350)
Source: RNAcentral